UUGACCUCUGCAGCGCCUGGAUUGUGACAAGCAAAAGUGCGAUUCUGAUGUUGCCAUUUACUCUGUGCAGAAUGGAGUGUCUCAGCCUCAAACAGCCACGUACAGGCCAACAGACUCAACAAGCAUGACUGAUCAUGAAGACUCUGGAAGCCCUCAGGCAGCUCAUGAAGCCCCAGACUCUUUGUUAACACUGAGACUGUCUCCAGCGAAGUCUUGGGCCCUGCUAACAGUCUCUGUCUCCUCUUCACUGCCUUGUCCAGGAACCUCUCCAGUCUCAUUUCCAGCUGCCAGCAGGUCACAUCCAUUCAGCUUGCUAAUGGUGUUCAGCAGACCCGCACUUGGGAGAGCCCAGGAAGUCGGAAACAGGCCGGUGCCCUCGCACCAGGACGCUCCUUGGUGCUGCGGAGAAGUGAUGGGCAUCUCUCCAUCCAGACUCCUAGAAGCACAGAGUGAAGAGCGAAACCCCGUUUCACCCCCAGCCUGACCCUCCUCUCCCACAACCUCAGGAAUAAUCAUUGUUGACGGAGGCCCAUCUCUCCAGGAGCUACAGAUGAAGAGAAACGGAGAAAUUGAGGAAAGGAGACCUGGAGGAAUUUAUGCCUCGCAGAAGUGGUGUGGAAAUCAAUAUGACAAGCGGAGAAUCAGGGGUGCUGGUCCCCUAAGGUCAUCCACCAUUUUACUCUAUUCCCAAGGUUAAAUACUCAACUGCUGAGAGCCUUCUCUGACUGAGGUCCUUACUGCUCUAGCCGUCACAGGCUACAAUCUGCUGGGUCCCAGGGUGGCCGACAUGGCGAAGCCGGCCUGGUGGGAAACCCCUCUCCCCCCAAACUAAAUAAACUUACCCACUUGAAGGCCCA
Molecule: long non-coding RNA, 857 nt
Filed under: Ursus maritimus (polar bear)
Lineage: Eukaryota; Metazoa; Chordata; Mammalia; Carnivora; Ursidae
Description: lncRNA (ENSUMAG00000012916.1)
Source: RNAcentral